RNAcentral lists this non-coding RNA (795 nucleotides) under Pongo abelii (Sumatran orangutan). The record is from RNAcentral. Lineage: Eukaryota; Metazoa; Chordata; Mammalia; Primates; Hominidae.
AGGAAAGCUGAGUUUCGAAAAAAUGCAGCUCGACUGAGACUGUGGUGUGGCUGGAUUUUCACAAAGCAGUAUUUAUAAUCAGGCAGAAAAUCAUGGAGAAACAGCUAAAGAUCAAGUUGCCACUUAAAUUCCUAGCAGCUACACCUGGCCAUGAGAACUGGUGAGCUUUUGGAGACACACAUCAUAAAGUGUGGGCCAGGUUGGGUGCUUCUCUGAUUAAUAUCAUGGCAGGGUUUUGGAACUCUUCAUUUCCUUCAUGCUGAAUCACCAGGGCGUCCCACAUGGCUGUCCCAACUCCAUCAAGCUGGAGUCCGAGAGGUGGCAGGCAGGGGCUUAGGAACACGCAAGACAGCCGCACUCUAAGUGUCUCUCCACCUCUUCUACAAACGAGGAGCCGUCCAUGCACUGGAAGACGUAUUUCCGCCGCUUGCUGCGGGUGGGCUGGCAGCACUGGGGCCCACAGCCCCCAUGACAUUCCAUGAUGGGCACUUUGGAGGCUGUGGCACAUGAUGCAUAACCUUUCUGGCGGCGGAUCACCUCUCGGACUACUUGUCCCAGGCAUGGAUUCUCUGCAGAGGGCAUAAAAGUCAGGGCAUUGGUGGUCUAGGUGGCCAGCAGGACCAUGAGCGGUUCCCAGUGGGAGAAUGUCUGCAGCAAGGCACUUGAGGAAGGGAGCCAUGACCCUUGACAAGCAAGUCGCAGUUUCCGUGUCUGAAAAAUGGUAAGACAUUUAUCCGUCCUUCCAGCAACUCCCAUGCUGUUACAGGCACCAGAGGAGAUUUUGAAGGAGAAAGG